Balaenoptera acutorostrata (minke whale) is the source of this 613-nucleotide long non-coding RNA. RefSeq lists it as uncharacterized. Lineage: Eukaryota; Metazoa; Chordata; Mammalia; Artiodactyla; Balaenopteridae. The record is from RefSeq and is a predicted model, not a curated record. The transcript is spliced from 2 exons.
AAACCCGGAGGGGAUCCUGCCGGGGCCCUUCACCCCGAGGAGCCAGUCCUGCAGCUGCCCGACUCCUCGGGGCCAGCGACUGAGGCCUGGGGCCUGGGGAGGCGGCCACGGGCAGAAGAGGAGGCCGCUGCUGGGGCCGGAGGCCUGAGGCGCGCGGGGCCUUCCCCGGGAUGCCUCCGCUGACAGCUCUGUGACAGGCCUCCUGGGGCGGGAGGCACGUGCAGGGCCCUCGGCUCUGCAGCAAAGCCUCUCUGCCACGCCGAGGGGCCAGAUUUACCUCAGGUCAAUCUCUCUGCGGGGGAAGCCAGACACCAUGCUACGAGGAUGCUCAAGCAGCCCUGUGGAGAGAUACAAUUGCUGGGGAACUGACACCUCCCACAAACUUGCCAGCCAUGUGAAUGAGCCAUCUUGGAAGUGGAUCCUCCAGCUCCAGUCAAGCCUUAAGAUAAACUGAACUGUACUCCCAGCCAACAUCUUCACUACAACCUCACUAGAGACACUGAGCUGGAACCACAUGACAAUAGUAUUGGCCUCAUAAGUUAAUAAAGAGCUGCUCUUGAAUUCCUGACCCACAGGAACUGUGUGAGAUAAUAAAUGUUUAUUAUUGUUUUAA